RNAcentral lists this ribosomal RNA (440 nucleotides) under uncultured bacterium. Its description in RNAcentral is "partial 16S ribosomal RNA". It matches the Rfam family "Bacterial small subunit ribosomal RNA", at positions 338 to 795 of the family's 1533-position model. The record is from RNAcentral.
CCUACGGGGGGCAGCAGUAGGGAAUAUUGCUCAAUGGGGGAAACCCUGAAGCAGCAACGCCGCGUGGAGGAUGAAGGUUUUAGGAUUGUAAACUCCUUUUGUUAGAGAAGAUUAUGACGGUAUCUAACGAAUAAGCACCGGCUAACUCCGUGCCAGCAGCCGCGGUAAUACGGAGGGUGCAAGCGUUACUCGGAAUCACUGGGCGUAAAGAGUGCGUAGGCGGGGUAAUAAGUCAGAUGUGAAAUCCUGUAGCUUAACUACAGAACUGCAUUUGAAACUGUUACUCUGGAGUGUGGGAGAGGUAGGUGGAAUUCUUGGUGUAGGGGUAAAAUCCGUAGAGAUCAAGAGGAAUACUCAUUGCGAAGGCGACUAUCUGGCUGUACAUUGACGCUGAGGCUCGAAAGCAUGGGGAUCAAACAGGAUUAGAUACCCGGGUAGUC